AGGAAAAGAAACUAACAAGGAUUCCCCCUAGUAACUGCGAGUGAAGCGGGAAAAGCUCAAAUUUAAAAUCUGGCGGUCUUUGGCCGUCCGAGUUGUAAUCUAGAGAAGUAAUGCCCGUGCUGGACCGUGUAUAAGUCUCCUGGGAUGGGGCGUCAUAGAGGGUGAGAAUCCCGUCUUUGACACGGACUACCAGUGCAUUGUGGUAUGCUCUCAAAGAGUCGAGUUGUUUGGGAAUGCAGCUCAAAAUGGGUGGUAAAUUCCAUCUAAAGCUAAAUAUUGGCGAGAGACCGAUAGCGAACAAGUACCGUGAGGGAAAGAUGAAAAGAACUUUGGAAAGAGAGUUAAACAGUACGUGAAAUUGCUGAAAGGGAAACGCUUGAAGUCAGUCGCGUUGGCCGGGGAUCAGCCUUGCUUUUGCAUGGUGUACUUUCUGGUUGACGGGUCAGCAUCAAUUUUGACCGCUGGAAAAAGACCUGGGGAAUGUGGCAGCUUCGGCUGUGUUAUAGCCCCUAGUCGCAUACAGUGGUUGGGAUUGAGGAACUCAGCACGCCGCAAGGCCGGGUUUCGACCACGUUCGUGCUUAGGAUGCUGGCAUAAUGGCUUUAAGCGACCCGUCUUGAAACACGGACCAAGGAGUCUAACAUGCCUGCGAGUAUUUGGGUGGAAAACCCAAGUGCGUAAUGAAAGUGAAAGUUGAGAUCCCUGUCGUGGGGAGCAUCGACGCCCGGACCAGAACUUUUGGGACGGAUCCGCGGUGGAGCAUGUAUGUUGGGACCCGAAAGAUGGUGAACUAUGCCUGAAUAGGGUGAAGCCAGAGGAAACUCUGGUGGAGGCUCGUAGCGAUUCUGACGUGCAAAUCGAUCGUCAAAUUUGGGUAUAGGGGCGAAAGACU
RNAcentral lists this ribosomal RNA (892 nucleotides) under Agaricus subumbonatus. Its description in RNAcentral is "partial large subunit ribosomal RNA". It matches the Rfam family "Eukaryotic large subunit ribosomal RNA", at positions 54 to 932 of the family's 3401-position model. Lineage: Eukaryota; Fungi; Basidiomycota; Agaricomycetes; Agaricales; Agaricaceae. The record is from RNAcentral.